GGGGAAUCUUGCACAAUGGGCGAAAGCCUGAUGCAGCGACGCCGCGUGAGGGACGAAGGCCUUCGGGUUGUAAACCUCUUUCAGUAGGGAAGAAGCGAAAGUGACGGUACCUGCAGAAGAAGCGCCGGCUAACUACGUGCCAGCAGCCGCGGUAAUACGUAGGGCGCAAGCGUUGUCCGGAAUUAUUGGGCGUAAAGAGCUCGUAGGCGGUUUGUCACGUCUGCUGUGAAAACCCGAGGCUCAACCUCGGGCUUGCAGUGGGUACGGGCAGACUAGAGUGCGGUAGGGGAGACCGGAAUUCCUGGUGUAGCGGUAAAAUGCACAGAUAUCAGGAGGAACACCGAUGGCGAAGGCAGGUCUCUGGGCCGCAACUGACGCUGAGGAGCGAAAGCAUGGGUAGCAAAC
This 405-nucleotide ribosomal RNA is filed under the name uncultured bacterium. RNAcentral's name for it is "bacterial SSU rRNA". It matches the Rfam family "Bacterial small subunit ribosomal RNA", at positions 356 to 773 of the family's 1533-position model. The record is from RNAcentral.